Long non-coding RNA from Platichthys flesus (European flounder), 537 nucleotides. RefSeq lists it as uncharacterized. The record is from RefSeq and is a predicted model, not a curated record. Lineage: Eukaryota; Metazoa; Chordata; Actinopteri; Pleuronectiformes; Pleuronectidae. The transcript has 5 exons.
UGAUGAUAGUGAGGAUGAGUGGCCACUUACCCGGGAAGAGCUCAUCAAGCAAAUAAAGGACGAGAUGCAUAAGGAGAGAAUUGCAGUUGAGAAGGCAGAGGCCAAAGCUUCAGAGGCCGCUCCUCAAGAGCAGAAGCAAAUGAGGGAUGAUCAUGGGAGUAUUGUAGCCAGGGGAGAAAAGCACAAAUGUCCAAAGAACGUUGCUCAAUGGCACCUGCAAGUAAAGGAAGAGGAGUGGGCUGCAGAGACAGGGACCUUUGCUGAAGGAAAGCAGACAAAGAAGAAGAAGCAGAUGAAGCACUGAUCUGAUACUGGUCCAAGUACAAGUUGAGAGCGCUACAUGGGUCCUGAGAUCCAAUCACUCAGCCUAUCCUGAUUCAUGACUCCCAACUCGACUAUAUGUGGCGACGCCGAGACUCCACUUCAUCCCACUGUGCAGAACUGAAGACAAAAUAUCACAGAUACAAACGCUGCCAUCCUGUGCCAAUCACUUAAGGAAUUUAAGCAUUUUUGGAGAAAUGAAAACCUAAUUAAAAC